CAAUAGCGUAUAUUAAAGUUGUUGCGGUUAAAAGCUCGUAGUUGGAUUUCUGUUGAGGUCGACCGGUGCACACCUCGUGUGUUAUUUGGUUCGGUCUCGGCAUCCUCCUGGGGAACGUGUCAGGACUUUAUUGGACUGCGCGAGAUUCAGGACUUUUACUUUGAGGAAAUUAGAGUGUUUAAAGCAGGCUUUUGCUAUGAAUACAUUAGCAUGGAAUAAUAAUCUAGGACUUCGGUUCUAUUUUGUUUGGUUUCUUAGUACUGAAGUAAUAGAUUGAUAGGGAGUAGUUGGGGGUGGCUAGUAUUGGCCGGCCACGAGGUGAAAUUACUUGGAUUCGGUCAAGACUAACUUAUUGCGAAAGCAUUCACCAAGGAUGUCUUCUUUAAUCAAGAACGAAAGUUAGGGGGAUCGAAGAUGAUUAGAUACCAU
This 429-nucleotide ribosomal RNA is filed under the name uncultured eukaryote. Its description in RNAcentral is "bacterial SSU rRNA". It matches the Rfam family "Eukaryotic small subunit ribosomal RNA", at positions 592 to 1018 of the family's 1831-position model. The record is from RNAcentral.